RNAcentral lists this ribosomal RNA (325 nucleotides) under uncultured eukaryote. Its description in RNAcentral is "partial 18S ribosomal RNA". It matches the Rfam family "Eukaryotic small subunit ribosomal RNA", at positions 1470 to 1796 of the family's 1831-position model. The record is from RNAcentral.
CCCUUAGAUGUUCUGGGCCGCACACGCGCUACACUGAAGGAGGCAGCGUGUACUCCUGGAUCGAAAGAUUUGGGUAACCCGCGAAUCUCCUUCGUGCUAGGGAUUGAGGUUUGCAAUUAUCCUUCAUGAACGAGGAAUUCCCAGUAAGUGCAAGUCAUAAGCUUGCGCUGACUACGUCCCUGCCCUUUGUACACACCGCCCGUCGCUCCUACCGAUUGAAUGGUCCGGUGAAGCGUUUGGACUAUGGUUUUCUGACGGUUCGCCAUUGGAUUACCGUGGGAAAUUCGUUAAACCUUAUCAUUUAGAGGAAGGAGAAGUCGUAACA